CCUGACUUCCCACAAACAAUUCUAAUAAAGAGCAAUUAACCUGAAAGUGUUUCGCAAUUUUAAUGUAUGAGAUAUGGUUUCUCUCAAAAGCUACACUGCUCUUGUGUCCUUACAAGGUAUUUUCUUAGCAAGAAUAAUCUGUUUACAUGGGUGUUAAUGACUAAAUCCCUUUCUUGUAAAGCUAUGCCCAUCUGUCACACAAGAAGAAUAGUACCCUUUAGAGAGCGCUAAAGAAAAUGUAGGGAAAAUGAGCAGGUAUUCAAAAAGGUAAAAUGCUGCCACAGAGCCUAACUGAUAAGAGCAAUUAAUGAAACAUUAAGUGUAGAAUAGGGAAUAUAUGGCAUGGGAUAAAUUAUAGUCAGAAUUCAUGUUUCUUUUGUCUCCAGAAGUUCACAUACAAAACCCCAUGCCUUUACAAAACAAUAAAUUCAGCACUGUCGAUGAUGCUUGUUUCCUUGUGAAUGUUGCAGAGGUCUCUUCAAGUGACUCAAUUGCACGGAAAAAGUUGUAUCACAAAGAACCAAGCUCCAAUCUAGACUGAUGAUCUAGACCUGCCAAGCAGCUUGCAUCCUGGAAAUUCUCUUCCCUGCUUUCCUGUGUUGAAUCUACUCUAUACAGAAUCUGGUGUUAUCCUCUUUCUUGAUUUUUUAAAAUUUCCUUUAACUCUUUUUUUUAUAUGAUAGUGGUUUUAUAGAAAUAAAGUUGAUAAUACAUAAUGUUUCAUAUAAUUACAGAUAAUUAGUUUAUAUUCAUGUUGAGGAUAAAGUGACAUUUGUUCCCUCUUACACAAAAACAGUUUUUUUUUAACUUUUACGUUCAGGGAUACAUGUGCAGAUUUCUUACAUAGGUAAACUUGUGUCAAGGGGAUUGGUGUAAGGCUUAUUUAUUUAGUCCCCAGGUAUUAAACCAAGUGCCCACUAGUUAUUUUUCCUAAUCCUCUCAAGAAAAGGUGCAUAGUCUUAUGGUCUGAAUGUGCCUCCCCUAAAACUCAUAUGUUAAAAUCCUAACCGACAAGAUGAUGGUAUGAAAAGUUGGGGCCUUUAGCAGGUGACUAGGUAAUGAUAGCGGAG
RNAcentral lists this long non-coding RNA (1070 nucleotides) under Papio anubis (olive baboon). RNAcentral describes it as "lncRNA (ENSPANG00000048552.1)". The record is from RNAcentral. Lineage: Eukaryota; Metazoa; Chordata; Mammalia; Primates; Cercopithecidae.